Molecule: small nuclear RNA, 21 nt
Filed under: Arabidopsis thaliana (thale cress)
Lineage: Eukaryota; Viridiplantae; Streptophyta; Magnoliopsida; Brassicales; Brassicaceae
Description: snRNA_02896
Source: RNAcentral
CUUUUUGAUCCUUCGAUGUCG